GAUGAAGAACGCAGCGAAAUGCGAUACGUAGUGUGAAUUGCAGAAUUCAGUGAAUCAUCGAAUCUUUGAACGCACAUUGCACCUCUCGGUAUUCCGGGAGGUAUGCCUGUUCGAGCGUCAUUUGUACCCUCAAGCUCUGCUUGGUGUUGGGUGUUUGUUCCGCCUCUGUGUGUGAACUCGCCUCAAAACAGUUGGCAGCCGGCGUACUUGUUUCGGAGCGCAGCACAUUUUGCGAUCCAGAUCAACGUACAGCGGCAUCCAAGAAGCCUUAUUUAACGCUCUUGACCUCGGAUCAGGUAGGGAUACCCGCUGAACUUAAGCAUAUCAAUAAGCGGAGGA
RNAcentral lists this unclassified non-coding RNA (339 nucleotides) under soil metagenome. RNAcentral describes it as "partial contains 5.8S ribosomal RNA, internal transcribed spacer 2, and large subunit ribosomal RNA". The stretch from base 1 to 120 matches the Rfam family "5.8S ribosomal RNA", at positions 35 to 154 of the family's 154-position model. The record is from RNAcentral.